CUAAGGGCUUCAGUUAUCAUUUCAGCAGACUGAGAGGCAACUAACAGCAAAAGACAACAUGUAAAGGAAAACCUGUGGCAAACGGAGGCCAACUGAAGGUUGACAAAAAUCUUUCGGAGAUACAACCGCAGCUGGAUAAGACUUGAAAAAGUAAAACUCCAGCACAGGGAAAGCUACGUGACUCAAUCUGAAUCACCCAGCAACUGACCGCCUCUUCUCAGCUCCAGCCUCUGAGCCAAGACCAGGACCAGGAUGUCCACUGUGCACACAAAGACCAGAGUGAUAUGGACCCUCAACCAAACUGCUGUGAAGAUACCAAACAACGUAACAGAGCAAUCCCAUAUCCCGUAUUUUCCUUACCAAAGCUCCACACCAGCACUUUACACCAGGGAGACAGUACAAACAACAGCCUCGGUCGACCGGUCUUUCUAUCACCACUCCGUAAUAGCAGUUACCUUGGCGCGGCCAUAUCCGUCAUCAUCAUCCGGCAUUAAUUCAUCAUAAGGGAUGAGGCAUUAGAGAAACUGCAGAGGGACUUAACAUGGCGGAGCAGUGACAGGGGCUCCCUCUGGUGUGAUGAAAGAACACACUGGGAGCUCCAUGCUGUGAUGGGCAAAAUAGUAUGUACGUCGCAGAUGUGACAAAUGAUGUUUGGGGAAGUUGAACAGCGUUUAAAAGACGACUGCUGGAGGAUGAUAGUAAUUUCAGAAAGUAAAGUCAGUUUAUGAUGUUUUAAGAAGUGUGUGAGAGCUGGCUCAGUUUGACUGUUUGGAUUAUUAUCUAUGUCAAGUGCAUGUUUCUCUCUAAUUCCCCCCACAGAAGCUUAUUCCUGGUGAUGCCUUAAAACAGCAUUUAGACCAUCAUGUUCAGGAAAUUUAAGAUGUUUCCCGGGUCAGAACUACAUACAAUUUCAAGGGGAAAUAAAGGUUAUUAUAAAGACUUAUUAUUGUUUGUCAGAGGUUAGUCAAUUGUCACCAUGUGCAGUUGUUGAUUUUCAGUAAAAAAAAAAAAGUCCUUGAAAAAGCUACUGCAUUUAA
This is a long non-coding RNA of Acanthopagrus latus (yellowfin seabream), 1037 nucleotides long. RefSeq lists it as uncharacterized. Lineage: Eukaryota; Metazoa; Chordata; Actinopteri; Spariformes; Sparidae. The transcript has 4 exons. The record is from RefSeq and is a predicted model, not a curated record.